Molecule: ribosomal RNA, 402 nt
Filed under: uncultured bacterium
Lineage: Bacteria
Description: bacterial SSU rRNA
Rfam family: Bacterial small subunit ribosomal RNA
Source: RNAcentral
UCGGGAAUUUUGGGCAAUGGGCGAAAGCCUGACCCAGCAACGCCGCGUGAGGGAUGAAGUAUUUCGGUAUGUAAACCUCGAAAGAACGGGAAGAAUAAAUGACGGUACCAUUUAUAAGCUCCGGCUAACUACGUGCCAGCAGCCGCGGUAAUACGUAGGGAGCAAGCGUUGUUCGGAUUUACUGGGCGUAAAGGGCGCGUAGGCGGCGCGGUAAGUCACUUGUGAAAUCUCUGAGCUUAACUCAGAACGGCCAAGUGAUACUGCUGUGCUAGAGUGCGGAAGAGGCAACCGGAAUUCUUGGUGUAGCGGUGAAAUGCGUAGAUAUCAAGAGGAACACCUGAGGCGAAGGCGGGUUGCUGGGCCGACACUGACGCUGAUGCGCGAAAGCCAGGGGAGCAAACG